UGACGCUGUUCUUCUGGGAAGCAUCUCUCUCUCUCUCUCACCCCGCAGAGAAAAUGGGCCCGCUCUCUAAGAAGCGCAUGAUCAUCCGCGAUGGCGUGUUCUACGCCGAGCUGUUUGAGUUUCUCAAGCGCGAGCUGGCCGAAGAGGGCUUCUCCGGUGUCUCUUACCAUGUCACGACGCUCCGCACGGAGAUCGUGAUCAAGGCGACGAAGACCCGUGAGGUGCUCGGCGUGAACGGCCGCCGCAUCCGCGAGUUGACAGCCUGCAUUCAGCAGCGCUUCAACUACAAGGAGGGCAAGCUCCAGCUGUACGUUGAGCGCGUUGAGGUGCGCGGCCUGUCUGCGAUGGCGCAGGUGGAGUCCCUUCGCUUCAAGCUCCUGAGCAACCUGCAGGUGCGCCGCGCCGCCAUGGGCAUCAUCCGCUACGUCAUGGAGUCUGGUGCCAAGGGCUGCGAGGUCACCGUCGGUGGAAAGAUCAAGGGCCAGCGUGCGAAGAGCAUGACCUUCCGCGACGGCUACAUGAUCAAGUCCGGUACGGCUCACAAGUCGUUCGUCGACUCCGCCUGCCGCCACUGCUACAUGCGCGCCGGCUGCAUCGGUGUCAAGGUCAAGAUCAUGCUGCCCGGUGACUCGACUGGCCGCAACGGCCCGUCGGAGCCGCUGCCGGACGUCAUCACCGUCAUUGAGCCGAAGCAGAUCACCGCAUCUGAGUAACGGGCAGGGGGCAUCGACGAAGGCAGCGAGAGACGGACAGCUGCGGGACAAGGAACGGAAGAACAGCAACCGCGCACACGUGCUCUCGUUUUGAUUGUCUUUCAUGUUUCUUUUUUUUAGUGCGUGUGCGCAUGGACAUGACGGAGUGACGAAGUAAGCGCGCUGGCGGGCGCGCGUGAGAGAGAGAGCGAACGAUCUUCUGUCAUCAUCUUGUGUGCGUGUGCAUGUGUGCUCGCGCGUGCAUUCUUUCUGUUUUCGUUACGAUCACCAAUGAUGAUAUGCCCACCUGCCUCCCUCCCUCUCCGGCUUGUCUCUCUCCCUCUCCCUCCCGUCCGGGUCCGUACGCACAGCGCCGCUUCUUUCCUCAUUUCACUCUG
Molecule: unclassified non-coding RNA, 1090 nt
Filed under: Leishmania donovani
Lineage: Eukaryota; Euglenozoa; Kinetoplastea; Trypanosomatida; Trypanosomatidae
Description: gene:LdHU3.15.1290(CDS-product:40S_ribosomal_prot ein_S3_putative)
Source: RNAcentral